UGUGGGAGCGGGCUUGCCCGCGAUUGCGAUGUAUCAGUAUCAGAAGUUUUGACUGACACACUGCAAUCGCGGGCAAGCCCGCUCCCACA
RNAcentral lists this unclassified non-coding RNA (89 nucleotides) under Pseudomonas fluorescens. The record is from RNAcentral. Lineage: Bacteria; Pseudomonadati; Pseudomonadota; Gammaproteobacteria; Pseudomonadales; Pseudomonadaceae.